GGAUCCAGACUUUGAUUCUGGCUCAGGAUGAACGCUAGCUACAGGCUUAACACAUGCAAGUCGAGGGGCAGCGGUAUCGAAAGCUUGCUUUCGGUAGCCGGCGACCGGCGCACGGGUGAGUAACGCGUAUCGAACCUGCCUCAUACUCGGGAAUAGCCUUGCGAAAGUAAGAUUAAUGCCCGGUGUUUUCAGAGUCCCGCAUGAGGCUUUGAACAAAGAUUUAUCGGUAUGAGAUGGCGAUGCGUCCCAUUAGCUUGUUGGCGGGGUAACGGCCCACCAAGGCAUCGAUGGGUAGGGGUUCUGAGAGGAAGGUCCCCCACAUUGGAACUGAGACACGGUCCAAACUCCUACGGGAGGCAGCAGUGAGGAAUAUUGGUCAAUGGGCGGAAGCCUGAACCAGCCAAGUAGCGUGCAGGAAGACGGCCCUCCGGGUUGUAAACUGCUUUUAGUUGGGAAUAAAACGGGGCUCGUGAGCCCCCUUGCAUGUACCAUCAGAAAAAGGACCGGCUAAUUCCGUGCCAGCAGCCGCGGUAAUACGGAAGGUCCGGGCGUUAUCCGGAUUUAUUGGGUUUAAAGGGAGCGCAGGCGGACCUUUAAGUCAGCUGUGAAAUACGGCGGCUCAACCGUCGAACUGCAGUUGAUACUGGAGGUCUUGAGUGCACACAGGGAUGCUGGAAUUCAUGGUGUAGCGGUGAAAUGCUCAGAUAUCAUGAAGAACUCCGAUCGCGAAGGCAGGCAUCCGGGGUGCAACUGACGCUGAGGCUCGAAAGUGCGGGUAUCAAACAGGAUUAGAUACCCUGGUAGUCCGCACAGUAAACGAUGAAUACUCGCGGUUUGCGAUACAUUGUAAGCCGCCAAGCGAAAGCGUUAAGUAUUCCACCUGGGGAGUACGCCGGCAACGGUGCAACUCAAAUGAAUUGACGG
RNAcentral lists this ribosomal RNA (924 nucleotides) under uncultured Bacteroidota bacterium. RNAcentral describes it as "bacterial SSU rRNA". It matches the Rfam family "Bacterial small subunit ribosomal RNA", at positions 1 to 916 of the family's 1533-position model. The record is from RNAcentral. Lineage: Bacteria; Pseudomonadati; Bacteroidota.